Colius striatus (speckled mousebird) is the source of this 439-nucleotide long non-coding RNA. RefSeq lists it as uncharacterized. Lineage: Eukaryota; Metazoa; Chordata; Aves; Coliiformes; Coliidae. The transcript is spliced from 3 exons. The record is from RefSeq and is a predicted model, not a curated record.
AGCAACGUGUGAGGGUCCCAGCCCAGAGCAGGAGCCUCAUAUCCACCCUGGGAAGGUCCUGGCAGGGGUGUGCUGUGCUGUGGGGCAGGCUCAGAGGACACUCUCCUUGCAGGUCCCGCUGAGGCUCCGGGGACGGCCACGCUCCAGCCGUCGGGCAGAGAGGAGGCGCCGAAGGGACGAGCUGGAGCUCAGGGCCUCUUGGGAUGUUCCAGCAACUGCUGAAGUGACUCAGGGGCAAAGCCAAAGGUCUUGCAACACUCAGGAUCAAACCACUCCGAGGUGGCACCGAGGGCGAAGGGGCUGGGUGAGGGUAGUGCCACGGGACGCUCCUGACACCACGGGCCUCACCUCAGGGAAACACGGCCCAGAGCACCGAGCUAAACCCUCCAAGCGAUUACAGCUGUGAGUGACGGCUCCUCCAAGCCAAGCGCCUCCAGGG